GCCUUAGAAAUUAAGAAGAUUGUUUAAUUUCAAGAAUGAACCUUAAGUAUUAGCAUUGAGAGAAAGUGAAGAAAAUUAUUAACGCCAUAGUUGUUGUUGUCGACUAUCUCCGAUCUAUGGCAUGCUCGAUCUCCUAUUAAGGUAGAGGUCAGUCACCUAUCGAGAUGGAGUUAGCUUUCACUGGAGUAGACAUGCUCCUUCUUCAAAGAUACCUAUAAAGAAAUCCACUCACUAGAGAUUUUCGAUAGGAGAACCUGCGAUGCUUUAGUUAGCUGGAGCUUUCAGCAAACAGUCAAGUAGAGAGUGAGAGAAUGAU
Molecule: long non-coding RNA, 316 nt
Filed under: Elaeis guineensis (African oil palm)
Lineage: Eukaryota; Viridiplantae; Streptophyta; Magnoliopsida; Arecales; Arecaceae
Description: long non-coding RNA (EGUI_LNC039281)
Source: RNAcentral